AAGCGCGCGCCGCAAUUGGACGGCAGCCUCACGUGACGCGGCGCUCCCGUGACGCGGCUCCCGCAGGCCCCUUGGGAAUCGCCCCCUGGCGCCUCGGAGGGGACAGGCCAGGGGGCGUGGCAGGGCCCUUGGGCGGUGGCGGCCUCCUGCCUAACCUGUAGUAGGUUUGUGCUCGGAGGGGGGUGGGGGGGGCACGUUGGGACCCGAGGCCUGAGGCCAGGCCGGGUACUGUGGACUCUGUGGUAGAAGCCUGAGGACCGCCGGUCCGAGGGAUGCCUCGGCAGGGGGCGCUGGGGACCUCCAGACCCAGAAAGAUGGGAGAGCCCCAGAUGGGGACACGCGCAUCACAGAAAACCAAGAAACUACGGAUCCGCGAUGAGAGGAAGAUAAUCAUCCAUAAUCGUGCCACGCAGGGCCAACGUGACUUCUAAUCUCCUGUUGCACUUACAUAAGUUUAAAAUGUUUCCAUGUAAAAAGUACAUUUCCUUGAAAAUAAACUGUUGUUGAAAUGUAUAAAGUACUAUUUCCACUCUCCAGGAAAAUCACUGGCAAUAGAGCAUUUUUCUAUAAGUCUAUUUGGUUAUAUAGAGUUAAAAUGUUUUAAAAAUUAUAGAAUAUGGAUAUGGCUUU
Molecule: long non-coding RNA, 630 nt
Organism: Cebus imitator (Panamanian white-faced capuchin)
Lineage: Eukaryota; Metazoa; Chordata; Mammalia; Primates; Cebidae
Exons: 2
Source: RefSeq, a predicted model, not a curated record